This is a non-coding RNA of Aspergillus sydowii CBS 593.65, 94 nucleotides long. Lineage: Eukaryota; Fungi; Ascomycota; Eurotiomycetes; Eurotiales; Aspergillaceae. The record is from Rfam.
GGGGUUAUAGCUCAGCGGGAGUAGCGUUCGACUGAAGUUCCAACUUCAUUCAUCCUUAAUCGAAAGGUCCCCGGUUCAAUCCCGGGUGACCCCA